Molecule: long non-coding RNA, 1282 nt
Organism: Leptidea sinapis
Lineage: Eukaryota; Metazoa; Arthropoda; Insecta; Lepidoptera; Pieridae
Exons: 2
Source: RefSeq, a predicted model, not a curated record
AAACGAGCGUACGGGUCACCUGUUUUUAAGUGAUCACCGCCGCCCACACUCUCCUGCAACACCAGAGGAAUCACAAGAGCGUUGCCGGCCUUUAAGGAAGGUGUACGCGCUUUUUUUGAAGGUACCCAUGUACAAUUUCUGUAAAUAGAUAACAAAUUAGUAUGUAAGUUGCUGCAUCCAAUAUAUGAAACGUGUUUAAAUAAUAUCAAAUAUUUCAUAAAAAGUAAUAAAGAAUAAACUGUAUAAAAUAUUGGAUGCAUCCACCAUUAGAGCAUUUAAAAACAAUGAAUUCGAUAAUUGUUUGUGUAAGGAUGCUUCGUGAACAUGAUGGUCGUGAUUACUGUCUUAAUUAGUUUUCGCAUCCAACAAAUACAAUUACUUAGGAUAGAGAUAUGGUUUAUUAAAAAAAAGUAGGUUUUUCCAUGUUUUUACCUGGAUUCGGCUGAUUUUUUUUGCGGUCAAUGACCGAAAUUCUCUAUUUCGCGACUGAAGUAAUAUUAUGAAAAAGUAGCUUUAGAAAUGUUUUUUAGGUGACAAUUGUACGAAUAAUUUGUUUUGUAUAACUUAUGUAAUUGUAGGAGAGGAGACUUGACGAGUGGAUCCAGCCUAUAGCUUGUGAUGUGUAUAUAAUAAUCCUUAACUGUGUUUUAAUAAACGCGAAGUAAAGUUAUUCCAAGUCUAAAGCUUUUUGUCUUUAUCUUAUCUUUGUGACAACAAAAUUAAUGACAGGGAGAAGUAAUUAUAAACUUGGAGUAACUUUAUAUUGCGUUUAUAAGGCAGUGUAUGACUAGUACUGCUAUGAAAUAUUUUUGAAUUUUGUGAUGCGGUUUUUAUUGUAAAGCCUGUAUGAUAAUUAUAUUUAACUGAAGAGAAUUUAUCUUUAAAACAGUUUUGUAUUGACAAAUGGCCCAUCAUAGAUUAGUCAUAUUAAUUUUUUUUUCGAUACAUUUACGUAUUGAAGACCCCGAAACGGGGCCCAUAUGUCGGGCUCGGGUAUAAACACCUCCUACCGACUAAAAACCUCCUCUGUGCUGAUAGCCCUGAGGGCUUUUACAGCGAAACCGGGCGGGGGCCUUGGAGGCCGAGCAUAUUAAAAUGGACUUACAAAAUCAGCACUUUUGGUUGAUUUCGUUACGCGUGAUAAUGAAUAAUAUAACUAUUAAUAUACACUUUAGUUAGUAUAUUUUUCGUUCUGGGAUUAUUUUAAUAUAAAUUUUUAGUAUUAAGUAAAAGUAUGAUGUAUGUGUUUAUGAAUUAGAUCUAUUAAAUAUUUUUAACUGUA